This is a long non-coding RNA of Bos taurus (domestic cattle), 1105 nucleotides long. The record is from Ensembl. Lineage: Eukaryota; Metazoa; Chordata; Mammalia; Artiodactyla; Bovidae.
CUCCGAUCCUGCUUCUCAGGAGACUCAGUUUUUCUCCCAGGCCAGCCCCGUUAGCCGAGACUCCACCAACUGCCUCGCCUUUAAAACUUUUCUUUCGCUUACUGAUUAUUUGCUCUACAGAAAAACGAACACGGGCCUGCGCCUUUAAGAAGGGAGAUAUAAAACUGUUACCAGAAGAAGACUUCGGAUCUGACUCUGCUGAGAACCUCAGAAAGGACCAGGAGCUAACCGAGCACCAGUAGUCCCGUGUAGUGUCAUUGCCUCCUGGGAGCUGCAGGCUCUGCUUCUCACUGUGACCGAGUCUGCCAGGAAUAUGUCAGCCUCCAGAACAGGGUGGCCAUGGUGCAGGGCUGAGCCCAUGUCUCAUCAACCCAAACAGAGGAAGUGCUGUCCCAGCUGGGCCCAGACCAAAGGCCUGACCUGUGUUCCUCUCUCUCCCCUUCUCUCUCUUUGAUUUUUUUUGGUGUUUGUCUUUUUCUCUCUUUAAAAAUAUUUGGGACUUCCCAGUGUUUAAAAUUCCACACUUCCAAGGCAGGGAGUGUUGGUUUGAUUCCUGAUUGGGGAACCAAGAUCCCAUAUAGCUCAAAGUGCCAUGAAAAAAAAAAAAAAAGAAAGUUUGAGUGUACUGUUGUAAGCCCUGGGAUAUAGCAGGGAACAAGCCAUUUGGGGUCCCUGCUAAUACUUCUAAUACAGGAGACACACACAAACAAGUAAAUAAGACAACUGCAGACCUGGAGGACAUCUGCAAUUUAGUGAAAGCACUGAAACACGUCAUGUGAUGGAGAGGCCCUGAGUUAGCCUAGAAAAAGGGAGAAGUAGGGGUCAGGGAACAUCAAUGGAGAUUAACCCAUGGUGAAGGCCAAGGGAGAGCAGGGCAGGCUGGGUUGAAGGGGAGUGCUCAGAUGACGGCUCAGAUGUCAUAGUAACUUACACUGAAAGAACAACUAUGAUGGUUACAAACAUAGGCUCCAGACCAGACCUGGGUCCAGUUUCUGGUUUCACCCCCUCCCAACUACAGAGCCCCAGGAAAGUUGCUUAACCUCUCUGAGUCUUUCUCCUUUCAUCGUAAGAUGAGACUGAUAACUGUACCUCCCUCACAAGGCUG